Molecule: ribosomal RNA, 506 nt
Filed under: Tylenchus naranensis
Lineage: Eukaryota; Metazoa; Nematoda; Chromadorea; Rhabditida; Tylenchidae
Description: SSU rRNA
Rfam family: Eukaryotic small subunit ribosomal RNA
Source: RNAcentral
CGCGAAUGGCUCAUUACAACAGCUAUAAUUUACUUGAUCUUGACAAUCCUACUUGGAUAACUGUGGUAAUUCUAGAGCUAAUACAUGCACCAAAGCCCCGAUCUUGCAGAAGGGAAGAGUGCAUUUAUUAUUUGAAAACCAAGCGGCUUCGGUCGUUUUUUGUUGACUCAGAAUAACUAAGCUGAUCGCAUGGUCUUGUACCGGCGACGUGUCUUUCAAGUAUCUGCCUUAUCAACUUUCGAUGGUAGUGUAUUUGACUACCAUGGUGGUGACGGGUAACGGAGGAUAAGGGUUCGACUCCGGAGAAGGGGCCUGAGAAAUGGCCACUACGUCUAAGGAUGGCAGCAGGCGCGCAAAUUACCCACUCUCAACGCGAGGUGGUAGUGACGAAAAAUAACGAGACCGUUCUCUACGAGGCCGGUCAUCGGAAUGGGUACAAUUUAAACCCUUUAACGAGUAUCUAUGAGAGGGCAAGUCUGGUGCCAGCAGCCGCGGUAAUUCCAGCU